GGAGAGGUGGCUGAGCGGCUGAAAGCAGCGUCCUGCUAAGACGUUGAGCUCGUAAGGGCUCCGUGAGUUCGAAUCUCACCCUCUCCGCCU
RNAcentral lists this transfer RNA (90 nucleotides) under Candidatus Nealsonbacteria bacterium CG07_land_8_20_14_0_80_40_10. Its description in RNAcentral is "tRNA-Ser". It matches the Rfam family "tRNA". Rfam says of the family: Transfer RNA (tRNA) molecules are approximately 80 nucleotides in length. Their secondary structure includes four short double-helical elements and three loops (D, anti-codon, and T loops). RNAcentral also lists the same sequence under 1 other name. Lineage: Bacteria; Candidatus Nealsoniibacteriota. The record is from RNAcentral.